GAAUCGGCUCAGGAUGAACGCUGGCGGCGUGCUUAACACAUGCAAGUCGAACGAAGCACUUUAUUUGAUUUCUUCGGAAUGAAGAUUUUGUGACUGAGUGGCGGACGGGUGAGUAACGCGUGGGUAACCUGCCUCAUACAGGGGGAUAACAGUUGGAAACGACUGCUAAUACCGCAUAAGCGCACAGGGUCGCAUGACCUGGUGUGAAAAACUCCGGUGGUAUGAGAUGGACCCGCGU
RNAcentral lists this ribosomal RNA (238 nucleotides) under uncultured bacterium. RNAcentral's name for it is "partial 16S ribosomal RNA". It matches the Rfam family "Bacterial small subunit ribosomal RNA", at positions 15 to 236 of the family's 1533-position model. The record is from RNAcentral.